UCACCUGCCAAAAAUAGACAGCCCUUCUCGGGCUUCUGUUACUUUGUAUACUGACUACCAUUUUCAUUUCUGCACGUGCAAAUCCUGCCUGAUAAAAUUUUCUAAGAUUUUCUUUUGAUUGAGGCAGAAAUUAAAGAGUGGAGAGAAGAAUGUGCCCAGAAGUCAUGAAGUCCCAGAAGCUGGUAUGCAAAGGAACAUAGCUGUGUGCUGGGGCCCUAGUGGGCGCCGAGUACUUGGCGGGGACCUGGGGCACAGCCACCAGCAGGAUGGUGACUGCCCACGAGGAGCAGACAAGCUAGCGGGGAGCAGAUGACAAAGUCAUGACACAGACGCACAUGUAAUUAAGGGAAGUUAUCUGAGAGCUGCUAGAAUCAAUCCUGAAGAACUACAUGUGGACAAUACCGCAAUUUCUGGAAUUUCUUGUUGAAAAUGGAUUUUUUCUGAAUUUCCACCAAACAUCCUUAUGUUUAAGGCUCUCCCUAAUUAUUUGUGUGUCUAUUGCUUCGGGUGAGAAAGAACAUUUCCAAAUAAAAAUUAAUUGAAAAUAUUCUUUGGUUAAUUAUGAUCAAAGAUAAAUUGAUAAAUUUGAUCAAUCUGAGCUACUUCUUGAACAUAAAAAUAUGCAAAGAUCAGGGGAGCCCAGGUGGCUCAGUCAGUUAAGUGUCCGACUUUGGCUCAGGUCAUGAUCUCGCAGUCUGUGAGUUCAAGCCCCGCAUCAGGCUCUGUGCUAACAGCUCUGAGCCUGGAGCUUGCUUCGGAUUCUCUGUCUUCCUCUCUCUCUCUGCCCCUCCCACACCUCUCUUUCAAAAGUAAAUAAACAUUUUUAAAAAUAUACAAAGAUCAGGGUUUUUUAAAUGUUUUUUAUUUAUUUUUGAGAGAGAGCACGGGGUGGGGGGAGGGGACAGGGGCAGAGAGAGAGGGGGACAGAGGA
Molecule: long non-coding RNA, 931 nt
Organism: Neofelis nebulosa (Clouded leopard)
Lineage: Eukaryota; Metazoa; Chordata; Mammalia; Carnivora; Felidae
Exons: 3
Source: RefSeq, a predicted model, not a curated record